AUGGCAUUAAAAGGAAGGUGGUCCCUGCCCCUCCCAAAGCCAAAGCCAAAGCCAAGGCUAUGAAGGCCAAGCAGGCAGGGCUAAAAGGCAUCCACCCCACCCCACACACACACAAUCUGCACAUCACCACCUUCUGGUGGCCCAAGACACUAUGGUUCCAAACGCAGCCCAAACAUCCUCAGAGGAACACUCAGAGAAGAUACAAACUUGACUACUAUGCCAGCAUCAAAAUCCCUUUAAGCCACUAAGUCAGCCAAUGAAAAAGAUGACAGCAAAACACUUGUGUUCACUGUAGAUAUCAAGCCCAACAACAGAUCAGACAGGCCAUGAAGAAGCUCUAUUGACAAUGAUGUGGCCAGGUCUACACCCCAAUCAGGCCUGCUGGAGAGAAGGCAUAUGUUAGACUGCCUCCUGACUAUGAUGCUUUCAAUAUUGCCUACAAAACUGGGAUCAUCUAA
This 458-nucleotide long non-coding RNA is filed under the name Homo sapiens (human). Its description in RNAcentral is "non-protein coding lnc-WDR12-3:1". Lineage: Eukaryota; Metazoa; Chordata; Mammalia; Primates; Hominidae. The record is from RNAcentral.